Molecule: ribosomal RNA, 402 nt
Filed under: bacterium
Lineage: Bacteria
Description: partial 16S ribosomal RNA
Rfam family: Bacterial small subunit ribosomal RNA
Source: RNAcentral
UGGGGAAUUUUGCACAAUGGGGGAAACCCUGAUGCAGCGACGCUGCGUGAUUUAGAAGGCCUUCGGGUUGUAAAAAUCUUUUCUAUGGGAAGAAAAUGACAGUACCAGAGGAAUAAGGACCGGCUAAUUACGUGCCAGCAGCCGCGGUAAUACGUAAGGUCCGAGCGUUGUCCGGAAUCAUUGGGCGUAAAGGGUACGUAGGCGGGUAAGCAAGUUAGAAGUGAAAUCCUAUAGCUCAACUAUAGUAAGCUUUUAAAACUGCUCAUCUUGAGGUAUGGAAGGGAAAGUGGAAUUCCUAGUGUAGCGGUGAAAUGCGCAGAUAUUAGGAGGAAUACCGGUGGCGAAGGCGACUUUCUGGCCAUAACCUGACGCUGAGGUACGAAAGCGUGGGUAGCAAACAGU